This 429-nucleotide ribosomal RNA is filed under the name Gemmatimonadota bacterium. RNAcentral describes it as "Gemmatimonadetes bacterium partial 16S ribosomal RNA". It matches the Rfam family "Bacterial small subunit ribosomal RNA", at positions 355 to 776 of the family's 1533-position model. The record is from RNAcentral. Lineage: Bacteria; Pseudomonadati; Gemmatimonadota.
UAGGGAAUCUUCGGCAAUGGACGAAAGUCUGACCGAGCAACGCCGCGCGAGUGAAGAAGGUUUUCGGAUCGUAAAACUCUGUUGUUAGAGAAGAACAAGGACGUUAGUAACUGAACGUCCCCUGACGGUAUCUAACCAGAAAGCCACGGCUAACUACGUGCCAGCAGCCGCGGUAAUACGUAGGUGGCAAGCGUUGUCCGGAUUUAUUGGGCGUAAAGCGAGCGCAGGCGGUUUCUUAAGUCUGAUGUGAAAGCCCCCGGCUCAACCGUGGAGGGUCAUUGGAAACUGGGGGACUUGAGUGCAGAAGAGGAGAGUGGAAUUCCAUGUGUAGCGGUGAAAUGCAUAGAUAUAUGGAGGAACACCAGUAGCGAAGGCGGCUCUCUGGUCUGUAACUGACGCUGAGGCUCGAAAGCGUGGGGAGCAAACAGG